CUUGCUAAGUUUGAUGGCGACCGGCGCACGGGUGAGUAACACGUAUCCAACCUGCCGAUGACUCGGGGAUAGCCUUUCGAAAGAAAGAUUAAUACCCGAUGGCAUAGUUCUUCCGCAUGGUAGAACUAUUAAAGAAUUUCGGUUAUCGAUGGGGAUGCGUUCCAUUAGUUUGUUGGCGGGGUAACGGCCCACCAAGACUACGAUGGAUAGGGGUUCUGAGAGGAAGGUCCCCCACAUUGGAACUGAGACACGGUCCAAACUCCUACGGGAGGCAGCAUG
This 279-nucleotide ribosomal RNA is filed under the name uncultured bacterium. RNAcentral describes it as "partial 16S ribosomal RNA". It matches the Rfam family "Bacterial small subunit ribosomal RNA", at positions 76 to 353 of the family's 1533-position model. The record is from RNAcentral.